AAACCAUUCUAAGUCUUCCCAACUCAUUUUUAGCCCUUCCAACAUUAUUGGAAUACAAGAGGAACUUGUCCAUCGCUUUCCUUCGACACUUUAACCAAUUUGGUCAAACUUCGAUUAUCGUUUUCGGGUUUCGAUACGUUACAUUCUCCACCCCUUAUAUUUAGUUUCGUCCGCGAAACCAGCUUAAUCUAACUUAAAUUCAUACCUCAAUUCAGCUCAUCGAAGAGAU
RNAcentral lists this long non-coding RNA (229 nucleotides) under Ananas comosus (pineapple). RNAcentral's name for it is "long non-coding RNA (ACOM_LNC041230)". The record is from RNAcentral. Lineage: Eukaryota; Viridiplantae; Streptophyta; Magnoliopsida; Poales; Bromeliaceae.